RNAcentral lists this ribosomal RNA (276 nucleotides) under uncultured bacterium. RNAcentral's name for it is "partial 16S ribosomal RNA". It matches the Rfam family "Bacterial small subunit ribosomal RNA", at positions 76 to 354 of the family's 1533-position model. The record is from RNAcentral.
CAAUACUUUGGUGGCGACCGGCGCACGGGUGCGUAACGCGUAUGCAACCUACCUUUAACAGGGGCAUAACACUGAGAAAUUGGUACUAAUUCCCCAUAACAUUCGAGAAGGCAUCUUCUUGGGUUAAAAACUCCGGUGGUUAAAGAUGGGCAUGCGUUGUAUUAGCUAGUUGGUGAGGUAACGGCUCACCAAGGCAACGAUACAUAGGGGGACUGAGAGGUUAACCCCCCCACAUUGGUACUGAGACACGGACCAAACUCCUACGGAAGGCAGCAG